AGUUGGUGGGGUAAAGGCCUACCAAGGCGACGAUGCAUAGCCGACCUGAGAGGGUGAUCGGCCACACUGGGACUGAGACACGGCCCAGACUCCUACGGGAGGCAGCAGUAGGGAAUCUUCCGCAAUGGGCGAAAGCCUGACGGAGCAACGCCGCGUGAGUGAAGAAGGAUUUCGGUUCGUAAAGCUCUGUUGUUAGGGAAGAAUGAUUGUGUAGUAACUAUACACAGUAGAGACGGUACCUAACCAGAAAGCCACGGCUAACUACGUGCCAGCAGCCGCGGUAAUACGUAGGUGGCAAGCGUUGUCCGGAAUUAUUGGGCGUAAAGCGCGCGCAGGUGGUUUAAUAAGUCUGAUGUGAAAGCCCACGGCUCAACCGUGGAGGGUCAUUGGAAACUGUUAAACUUGAGUGCAGGAGAGAAAAGUGGAAUUCCUAGUGUAGCGGUGAAAUGCGUAGAGAUUAGGAGGACACCAGUGGCGAAGGCGGCUUUUUGG
RNAcentral lists this ribosomal RNA (492 nucleotides) under uncultured Bacilli bacterium. Its description in RNAcentral is "bacterial SSU rRNA". It matches the Rfam family "Bacterial small subunit ribosomal RNA", at positions 247 to 732 of the family's 1533-position model. The record is from RNAcentral. Lineage: Bacteria; Bacillati; Bacillota; Bacilli.